GACCGAUAGUGAACCAGUACCGUGAGGGAAAGGCGAAAAGAACCCCGGCGAGGGGAGUGAAAAAGAACCUGAAACCGUGUACGUACAAGCAGUGGGAGCACGCUUAGGCGUGUGACUGCGUACCUUUUGUAUAAUGGGUCAGCGACUUAUAUUCUGUAGCAAGGUUAACCGAAUAGGGGAGCCGAAGGGAAACCGAGUCUUAACUGGGCGUUAAGUUGCAGGGUAUAGACCCGAAACCCGGUGAUCUAGCCAUGGGCAGGUUGAAGGUUGGGUAACACUAACUGGAGGACCGAACCGACUAAUGUUGAAAAAUUAGCGGAUGACUUGUGGCUGGGGGUGAAAGGCCAAUCAAACCGGGAGAUAGCUGGUUCUCCCCGAAAGCUAUUUAGGUAGCGCCUCGUGAAUUCAUCUCCGGGGGUAGAGCACUGUUUCGGCAAGGGGGUCAUCCCGACUUACCAACCCGAUGCAAACUGCGAAUACCGGAGAAUGUUAUCACGGGAGACACACGGCGGGUGCUAACGUCCGUCGUGAAGAGGGAAACAACCCAGACCGCCAGCUAAGGUCCCAAAGUCAUGGUUAAGUGGGAAACGAUGUGGGAAGGCCCAGACAGCCAGGAUGUUGGCUUAGAAGCAGCCAUCAUUUAAAGAAAGCGUAAUAGCUCACUGGUCGAGUCGGCCUGCGCGGAAGAUGUAACGGGGCUAAACCAUGCACCGAAGCUGCGGCAGCGACGCUGAUGCGUUGUUGGGUAGGGGAGCGUUCUGUAAGCCUGUGAAGGUGUGCUGUGAGGCAUGCUGGAGGUAUCAGAAGUGCGAAUGCUGACAUAAGUAACGAUAAAGCGGGUGAAAAGCCCGCUCGCCGGAAGACCAAGGGUUCCUGUCCAACGUUAAUCGGGGCAGGGUGAGUCGACCCCUAAGGCGAGGCCGAAAGGCGUAGUCGAUGGGAAACAGGUUAAUAUUCCUGUACUUGGUGUUACUGCGAAGGGGGGACGGAGAAGGCUAUGUUGGCCGGGCGACGGUUGUCCCGGUUUAAGCGUGUAGGCUGGUUUUCCAGGCAAAUCCGGAAAAUCAAGGCUGAGGCGUGAUGACGAGGCACUACGGUGCUGAAGCAACAAAUGCCCUGCUUCCAGGAAAAGCCUCUAAGCAUCAGGUAACAUCAAAUCGUACCCCAAACCGACACAGGUGGUCAGGUAGAGAAUACCAAGGCGCUUGAGAGAACUCGGGUGAAGGAACUAGGCAAAAUGGUGCCGUAACUUCGGGAGAAGGCACGCUGAUAUGUAGGUGAAGUCCCUCGCGGAUGGAGCUGAAAUCAGUCGAAGAUACCAGCUGGCUGCAACUGUUUAUUAAAAACACAGCACUGUGCAAACACGAAAGUGGACGUAUACGGUGUGACGCCUGCCCGGUGC
Molecule: ribosomal RNA, 1402 nt
Filed under: Escherichia coli
Lineage: Bacteria; Pseudomonadati; Pseudomonadota; Gammaproteobacteria; Enterobacterales; Enterobacteriaceae
Description: partial 23S ribosomal RNA
Rfam family: Bacterial large subunit ribosomal RNA
Source: RNAcentral